RNAcentral lists this ribosomal RNA (383 nucleotides) under uncultured bacterium. Its description in RNAcentral is "bacterial SSU rRNA". It matches the Rfam family "Bacterial small subunit ribosomal RNA", at positions 29 to 402 of the family's 1533-position model. The record is from RNAcentral.
AAUGAACGCUGGCGGCGCGCCUAAUACAUGCAAGUCGAGCGAGAAGACGUAGCAAUACGUUUGUAAAGCGGCGAACGGGUGAGGAAUACAUGGGUAACCUACCCUCGAGUGGGGAAUAACUAGCCGAGAGGUUAGCUAAUACCGCGUACGCUCCUUGGACUUCGGUUCAGGGAGGAAAGCGAUACCGUGGUAUCGCGCUCUUGGUUGGGCUCAUGUCCUAUCAGCUUGUUGGUGAGGUAACGGCUCACCAAGGCUUCGACGGGUAGCUGGUCUGAGAGGACGAUCAGCCACACUGGCACUGCGACACGGGCCAGACUCCUACGGGAGGCAGCAGUAAGGAAUAUUGACGCAAUGGGCGAAAGCCUGACGCAGCGACGCCGCGU